AGGGUUCAUUUUAGUGCCUCUGAUUGACUAGGCUAUGGCAGAAGCAGAGUCUUUUUCUUAUUGGCUGGUAGACAAUGUGGGAAAGGACUCUGUUAGAGGAAAGAAGGGACGGCCUGAUAAGAGAAGGAGCUGAGCUGGCUGGAGGCUGCAAUUCUGAAGCUGAUCUUAACGGGAGGAACCAUGAAGACAUCCACAGGAGCUUUAAUCAUGUUCUCAUGGCUGCAGCUGAACUGGUUCAGCCAAGGAGAGAAGGUGGAGCAGCAUCCUUCUACCCUGAGUGUGCAGCAGGGAAGCAGCUCUGUUAUCAACUGCAGUUAUUCAGACAGUACCUUCAUCUACUUCCCUUGGUAUAAGCAAGAGUUUGGAAAAGGUCCCCAGCUCCUUAUAGACAUUCGUUCAAACACGGCCAAAAAAGAAGACCAAAGACUCACUGUUUUUUUGAAUAAGAUGGCCAAACAUCUCUCCCUGCACAUCGCAGACACCCAGCCUGAAGACUCAGCUGUGUACUUCUGCGCAGCAAGCACACAUUGCUUCCCAGGCACCUGCUGCCUGCACUCAAACCUGGGUGUGGGGCAGCCCCCUGUCCUUUGA
Molecule: non-coding RNA, 591 nt
Organism: Zalophus californianus (California sea lion)
Lineage: Eukaryota; Metazoa; Chordata; Mammalia; Carnivora; Otariidae
Source: the annotation of a RefSeq genome assembly